AAAUUGAAGAGUUUGAUCAUGGCUCAGAUUGAACGCUGGCGGCAGGCCUAACACAUGCAAGUCGAGCGGUAGCACAGAGAGCUUGCUCUCGGGUGACGAGCGGCGGACGGGUGAGUAAUGUCUGGGAAACUGCCUGAUGGAGGGGGAUAACUACUGGAAACGGUAGCUAAUACCGCAUAAUGUCGCAAGACCAAAGUGGGGGACCUUCGGGCCUCAUGCCAUCAGAUGUGCCCAGAUGGGAUUAGCUUGUAGGUGGGGUAACGGCUCACCUAGGCGACGAUCCCUAGCUGGUCUGAGAGGAUGACCAGCCACACUGGAACUGAGACACGGUCCAGACUCCUACGGGAGGCAGCAGUGGGGAAUAUUGCACAAUGGGCGCAAGCCUGAUGCAGCCAUGCCGCGUGUGUGAAGAAGGCCUUCGGGUUGUAAAGCACUUUCAGCGGGGAGGAAGGCGUUAAGGUUAAUAACCUUGGCGAUUGACGUUACCCGCAGAAGAAGCACCGGCUAACUCCGUGCCAGCAGCCGCGGUAAUACGGAGGGUGCAAGCGUUAAUCGGAAUUACUGGGCGUAAAGCGCACGCAGGCGGUCUGUCAAGUCGGAUGUGAAAUCCCCGGGCUCAACCUGGGAACUGCAUUCGAAACUGGCAGGCUAGAGUCUUGUAGAGGGGGGUAGAAUUCCAGGUGUAGCGGUGAAAUGCGUAGAGAUCUGGAGGAAUACCGGUGGCGAAGGCGGCCCCCUGGACAAAGACUGACGCUCAGGUGCGAAAGCGUGGGGAGCAAACAGGAUUAGAUACCCUGGUAGUCCACGCCGUAAACGAUGUCGAUUUGGAGGUUGUGCCCUUGAGGCGUGGCUUCCGGAGCUAACGCGUUAAAUCGACCGCCUGGGGAGUACGGCCGCAAGGUUAAAACUCAAAUGAAUUGACGGGGGCCCGCACAAGCGGUGGAGCAUGUGGUUUAAUUCGAUGCAACGCGAAGAACCUUACCUGGUCUUGACAUCCACAGAACUUAGCAGAGAUGCUUUGGUGCCUUCGGGAACUGUGAGACAGGUGCUGCAUGGCUGUCGUCAGCUCGUGUUGUGAAAUGUUGGGUUAAGUCCCGCAACGAGCGCAACCCUUAUCCUUUGUUGCCAGCGGUCCGGCCGGGAACUCAAAGGAGACUGCCAGUGAUAAACUGGAGGAAGGUGGGGAUGACGUCAAGUCAUCAUGGCCCUUACGACCAGGGCUACACACGUGCUACAAUGGCAUAUACAAAGAGAAGCGACCUCGCGAGAGCAAGCGGACCUCAUAAAGUAUGUCGUAGUCCGGAUUGGAGUCUGCAACUCGACUCCAUGAAGUCGGAAUCGCUAGUAAUCGUAGAUCAGAAUGCUACGGUGAAUACGUUCCCGGGCCUUGUACACACCGCCCGUCACACCAUGGGAGUGGGUUGCAAAAGAAGUAGGUAGCUUAACCUUCGGGAGGGCGCUUACCACUUUGUGAUUCAUGACUGGGGUGAAGUCGUAACAAGGUAACCGUAGGGGAACCUGCGGUUGGAUCACCUCCUUACCUUAAAGAA
This 1550-nucleotide ribosomal RNA is filed under the name Klebsiella pneumoniae. RNAcentral describes it as "bacterial SSU rRNA". It matches the Rfam family "Bacterial small subunit ribosomal RNA". Lineage: Bacteria; Pseudomonadati; Pseudomonadota; Gammaproteobacteria; Enterobacterales; Enterobacteriaceae. The record is from RNAcentral.